AAACUAACCAGGAUUCCCCUAGUAACGGCGAGUGAAGCGGGAUGAGCUCAAGCUUAAAAUCUCUGUGCCAGUUUGGCAUGGCGAAUUGUAGUCUAUAGAGGCGUUGUCAGUGCGGCUGUGCGGGGUAAGUUCCUUGGAAGAGGACAGCAUCGAGGGUGAUACUCCCGUUUGUACCUGUGCGGCUUGCGCGUACGACACGUUUUCUUCGAGUCGCGUUGUUUGGGACUGCAGCGCAAAGUAGGUGGUAAAUUCCAUCUAAAGCUAAAUAUUGGUGCGAGACCGAUAGCGAACAAGUACCGUGAGGGAAAGAUGAAAAGAACUUUGAAAAGAGAGUUAAAGAGUACCUGAAACUGCUGAAAGGGAAGCGAAUCGUAUCCAGUGUCUAUAAUCUGCGGCAUAUUUCAUUGGCGGCUUUGUGCGUGCUAUUGUUUCGGAAGCGGCUUUUGUUGCUCUGUGCUUUGGUGUUGCGCGUUGCUGCUGGUGCCCUGUGUUGCGGUGGGACGUCAGAGUCAGUUCGUAUGCUGCGGGAAAUGGCUGCCGAGGAGGUAGGUCAGGACUUUUGUCUUGGCUGUUAUAUCUUGGUGGUUUGUUGUCGUGGUUGGGACUGAGGUGCCUACAAUGUGCUUUUGAGUAUGCUGGGUUCUCAUUUGGUGGACUGUUUGGAUAGCUUGCUAUGCUUGUGGUUUUUUCAUCGAGUGAUUGAGUCUGGUGGUAACUUAUUGCCGUUCGGGACUUUGACGAAAUGGAGCGAUUCGGC
RNAcentral lists this ribosomal RNA (757 nucleotides) under Globisporangium irregulare. Its description in RNAcentral is "LSU rRNA". It matches the Rfam family "Eukaryotic large subunit ribosomal RNA", at positions 62 to 648 of the family's 3401-position model. Lineage: Eukaryota; Oomycota; Peronosporomycetes; Pythiales; Pythiaceae. The record is from RNAcentral.